UACCUUCUAGAUGGGGACAACCGUUGGAAACGACAGCUAAUCCCCAAUAAGCCGAGAGGUGAAACGGGAUUCCGCUAGAAGAGGAGCUCGCGUCCGAUUAGUUAGUUGGUGGGGUAAAAGCCUACCAAAGCGUCGAUCGGUAGCUGGUCUGAGAGGAUGAGCAGCCACACUGGGACUGAGACACGGCCCAGACUCCUACGGGAGGCAGCAGUGGGGAAUUUUCCGCAAUGGGCGAAAGCCUGACGGAGCAACGCCGCGUGUGGGAAGAAGGCUCUUGGGCUGUCAACCACUUUUCUCAGGGAAGAAUCACUGACGGUACCUGAGGAAUCAGCCUCGGCUAACUCCGUGCCAGCAGCCGCGGUAAUACGGAGGAGGCAAGCGUUAUCCGGAAUUAUUGGGCGUAAAGCGUCCGCAGGGGGCGCAUCAAGUCUGCUGUCAAAGGUCGGAGCUUAACUCCGGUGUGGCAGUGGAAACUGGUGCGCUAGAGGGCGACAGGGGUAGAGGGAAUUCCCAGUGUAGCGGUGAAAUGCGUAGAGAUUGGGAAGAACACCGGGUGGCGAAAGCGCUCUACUGGGUCGCACCUGACCCUCAGGGACGAA
RNAcentral lists this ribosomal RNA (599 nucleotides) under Aphanothece sp. 51.2. RNAcentral's name for it is "bacterial SSU rRNA". It matches the Rfam family "Bacterial small subunit ribosomal RNA", at positions 127 to 757 of the family's 1533-position model. Lineage: Bacteria; Bacillati; Cyanobacteriota; Cyanophyceae; Chroococcales; Aphanothecaceae. The record is from RNAcentral.